Molecule: long non-coding RNA, 237 nt
Organism: Dromaius novaehollandiae (emu)
Lineage: Eukaryota; Metazoa; Chordata; Aves; Casuariiformes; Dromaiidae
Exons: 3
Source: RefSeq, a predicted model, not a curated record
GGAAAAAAAAGGAAAAAAAGAAGAAAACCUUCACUCACAUCCACCACCAGGCAGCCAAGGGAACCAAGCCUCCGAACAUGGCACUUCAGCAAAGUGAUCUGACCCACACCAUACACAACCCCUAAGCCUUUUCAUGCCAAGCACAGUCAGAAGGAAACAUGCUGGUACGGUGAAGAUAUGAUUGGUGCGUAUGCAGCUACAGAGUCAGAACUUUACUUAUAGAAGAACUUAACUGGU